UUGGGGGGCCUAUCCGUUUUAUCCCUGUCCCUCCUGCUUCCCAUUGUCCGGCCAACAAAAGCGGGAAUGAUCGAGGGCAGCGUAAAAAAUAAAGGCGGCAGAGAAGGUCGUUGGGCAACCCCGAGAGGUGGCUAGUUUGAUCCCAGGCACCGCAGACCCAAGUGUCCAGGCGUCCCUGGACAUGGCACCUAACCCCGACUGCUCCCGACGAGAUGGCUGCUGCUGGUGACAAGGUGUGUGAUUGUGAGGAGCAAAUUGUGUGGCCUCAGUUCAGAGAAGUUUAAAUGCAGUCUAUACUCAUUUCUUCCCUGUAUCUUUGCUUGAAAGAUGCACAUCGGUUCUGGCAAUACCUGACUGCACCGUGGUCAACCCAGAGGGUAGUUAGGGUAGGCAUUCCCUCCGUCCAUCAAACAAUUCAGCCCACACCCCUAUACGGAGCCGUCCUGUCUUGUACUGACCCCGUUAAUAAUAAUAAUGAUACAUUUUAUUUGUAGGGCACUUUACAUUUGAAAAUCUCAAAGUGCUAGAGUUUAAGAGAGAGAAAAGGGUUGUUAAAACAUAUACGUAUACAGUAAAAGAGAAAUUAGCAAAAGGCUUUUUAAAAAAAAAAAAAAAGUCUUGAUGUUCUAUUCUGUGGGGCCUUCAGUACAGUACAGUACUUCAGUACAGGUUGUCAGGGAGGGCGUUCCAUAGUCUGACCAGAGCGUUCUGGUCUGGUAGAAGGAACUGAUUUGGUUCCAUUGGUGGCUUCAGAAGAUGUCAUCUAGCUACCCCUCCGCCACAGGGCUUUGUAUGAAUACAACAGGUUUUACAUCUUUCCACUAAAACUGAUAAAUAGGGGAGCACUUUCAACUAUAGGUGGAUGGAAAAGGGGCCUGUGGACUUGUACGUCAAUGACCUAGAGCGGCAGUCUGCUCAAAUACUGGAUCCACUUUUUUAUUUUGCCCGUAAUAGAAACCGGCCAUUGCAUUUGCUUUGUCGUUACUAAUUGCUUAUGUUGUUGAAAGGCGUGGCAAUGAUUAGGAAUGCUUUUAGCUGCUUUGUGUUUAACAAUGGAUGAAUCCGAUGAUUACAUUGGUGAAUCUAAAUGUACAGAGCUGGGGAAAUUGAAACAAUUAAAACAGACAAAAUAUCAAAUGAGUUAGAAUACAGUUUGAAUUAAAAAUCGAAUGGGACAGUAUGAUUCUACUACGUUUCGUUACAUUAAAACAAAAGCGUCCAUUUAGGAUGCAGUGCCUUACAUUAUGUUCAUUCAACCAAGUAAUUCAAGUGCAAACAACUUCAAAACAUAAGCAAAGCAACUGCUUUUAAGUGCUACGAUAUAAAGAGAUCGAAGAAGAAAAUUAGAAAGCAAAUCAUUUGAUUAAAUUACAUACUAUAAGGCAGUACUUUUGGAAUCAUUUCGCCACAAUUCAUGUAUGCAUUAAUUUUACACUAUUUAAUGCAUUCUUUAGAUCCUUAUAUUGUUUCCUCAUCAGUUGCAACCCACACACACACACAUACACACACACACACACACACACACACACACACACACACACACACACACACACACACACACACACACACACACACACAACCUCUUGCGGGCAGACUCAGAAUCUUGAGCCCAUUUAUUAGGGAACAGGUGUUAUCGGGAUUCCAUCACUGCAUUCCCAGAAUCCUGCAUUGUGAAAGUCUUCCCUUUUUUUUUUAAAUGUACAAUGGCAUUU
This is a long non-coding RNA of Gadus morhua (Atlantic cod), 1712 nucleotides long. RefSeq lists it as uncharacterized. The record is from RefSeq and is a predicted model, not a curated record. NCBI's taxonomy places the organism in Eukaryota, Metazoa, Chordata, Actinopteri, Gadiformes, Gadidae. The transcript has 2 exons.